This 223-nucleotide ribosomal RNA is filed under the name Escherichia coli. Its description in RNAcentral is "partial 16S ribosomal RNA". It matches the Rfam family "Bacterial small subunit ribosomal RNA", at positions 1 to 220 of the family's 1533-position model. The record is from RNAcentral. Lineage: Bacteria; Pseudomonadati; Pseudomonadota; Gammaproteobacteria; Enterobacterales; Enterobacteriaceae.
AAAUUGAAGAGUUUGAUCAUGGCUCAGAUUGAACGCUGGCGGCAGGCCUAACACAUGCAAGUCGAACGGUAACAGGAAACAGCUUGCUGUUUCGCUGACGAGUGGCGGACGGGUGAGUAAUGUCUGGGAAACUGCCUGAUGGAGGGGGAUAACUACUGGAAACGGUAGCUAAUACCGCAUAACGUCGCAAGACCAAAGAGGGGGACCUUCGGGCCUCUUGCCA